Molecule: long non-coding RNA, 345 nt
Organism: Eucalyptus grandis
Lineage: Eukaryota; Viridiplantae; Streptophyta; Magnoliopsida; Myrtales; Myrtaceae
Exons: 2
Source: RefSeq, a predicted model, not a curated record
GCAGAAACAGGGGAAGACGCAAAACAGGGGAGAAGAGAGAAAGAAGAGAAAGGAAAAAGGGAAAAAGGGAAAAAUUUUGGCGCACUCAUGACCCGGACGCCUCAUCAAGCCGACUCAAGUGUGUUUUGCAAGGCCGGUUCUUCAGCGAGUCGCGAGUAGGCGUGAGCGUUCGCUUGGGGAGGACUUUUGUUGUGGAACUUUUUGGUAUGGCUUAUGCAUAGUUCAUAAGUUUAUAAGUUAGUUUUUGUAAAAGGUUUAUGUUUUGAUGUUUGUGGAACAUAUAUAUACUCUGAUAUUGUAACCAAUUGCCCCUUUUUGUCAAAUAUAUAUAUGUGGAUGUAUAUA